GACGAACGCUGGCGGCGUGCCUAAUACAUGCAAGUUGAGCGAUGAAGAUUGGUGCUUGCCCCAAUUUGAAGAGCAGCGAACGGGUGAGUAACGCGUGGGGAAUCUGCCUUUGAGCGGGGGACAACAUUUGGAAACGAAUGCUAAUACCGCAUAACAACUUUAAACAUAAGUUUUAAGUUUGAAAGAUGCAAUUGCAUCACUCAAAGAUGAUCCCGCGUUGUAUUAGCUAGCUGGUGAGGUAAAGGCUCACCAAGGCGAUGAUACAUAGCCGACCUGAGAGGGUGAUCGGCCACAUUGGGACUGAGACACGGCCCAAACUCCUACGGGAGGCAGCAGUAGGGAAUCUUCGGCAAUGGACGAAAGUCUGACCGAGCAACGCCGCGUGAGUGAAGAAGGUUUUCGGAUCGUAAAACUCUGUUGGUAGAGAAGAACGUUGGUGAGAGUGGAAAGCUCAUCAAGUGACGGUAACUACACAGAAAGGGACGGCUAACUACGUG
This 497-nucleotide ribosomal RNA is filed under the name uncultured bacterium. RNAcentral describes it as "partial 16S ribosomal RNA". It matches the Rfam family "Bacterial small subunit ribosomal RNA", at positions 28 to 507 of the family's 1533-position model. The record is from RNAcentral.